Molecule: long non-coding RNA, 20295 nt
Filed under: Populus trichocarpa (black cottonwood)
Lineage: Eukaryota; Viridiplantae; Streptophyta; Magnoliopsida; Malpighiales; Salicaceae
Description: long non-coding RNA (PTRI_LNC001092)
Source: RNAcentral
ACAACAUUUGAUUGGAUUUGGUAUCAUAUGUCCAUCCAUUGUCCCCUGGCUUCAACUCUACCCAGGCAUCAACCCAUCCAUCAGGGAAAGGAAACUGACCAUCCAACUUAUCAUCCCAGUUCAUGUCACCACAAAAAAUCACAUUUGAGUUCUUCUUGAGAAGGUUGAUGGCCUCCUUUGCCUGAUCCACACGUUCCUUGCUGAACAUCUGAUCCCAUUUUGGAGGUGCUGGACAUGGACUCUCUAGAUGGCUAGUGGCAACAACUAAUGACUUUUUUCCUGGAACUUCAAGCUCAGCAAUGCAAAGUUCUCUCCCCAUUAUUGAAUUCAUAAAGGGUUUAGUGCUGAAGGAUUUUACUGGCAGUUUGCUUAACUGCAAGCAAGGGGGCAUUAUUAAUAAUACUAGAAAAAAUGAAUACCAACAUUAAAUGAACUGUUAAUGACAUUUACAAAAAAACAAUGCCAACAUUAAUUCUUUAAGAUAUUAAUUUUUUUCCCACGUUUUACAAAAAAACAAUGACAUUUAAUGAACUGCUAAAAUUUAGUUAAAGGUCAAACAUAUUCGGUGAUCAGUCAGAUAAUCAAGGGCCGGUCCAGUAAAUUAAACACUAUCACUCAAACAAAAGAAGCAAAACCUGCAAAAGCUCAUUCAACAGCCAGCAUAAAACCAUGUUUCCAUGAUUCUCCAGUUCUUGGGAAAGAGUGUACAGCAAGAGAACUAUCAGGAUCCAUACUUGUCAGUAAGUAAAGUUAGCCAGAAACAUACUAAAGGUCAUGUUAAUUUGAAACCAUGUAUGAGUUGUCUCUGCCAUAACAGAGCAUGAGAGUAACUGUAACAACUUUCAACAUGGUGACUUACAAGACCACUAAUUUUGAUGCUUAAUGUAUCUAUCUCGCAGGCCUGUGAAUGGUGUAUUACAAGAACAUAGAAGCAGAAUCACCAUCCAGCACAUAUCAAAACCAUACCUGCAUGCAAAAGUAUCCUCUUGAACUUGCUAUUUCAGAAGAAACAGAGCAUUGAUAAGCUUUCCACCAGCUGGAUCGCUGAAAUAUGUCAUAUAUAUCUGGAAUAACCUCCUGCAAGGAAAAAUGGAAAUAGUUAAGAUGAAAGUCAACACAGGAAGAUCCAAUUUCAUGAGGUAGGGAACAAGAAAAACCUGUAAACAAAUGACAUCUGGUGAAUGUAGUUGAAUAAGUUCCCCAAGUGCUUUCAUCCUCCUAUGCAUCUCCAGGUCUUCUCGGAACCAAACAUUAUAGCUCAAAAUCUUGAAGGAACCAAGCACUGCUGCUGAAUUUGUAUCCUCUGCCACAAAUUUAAGAUGCUUUGAAUCGUGAAAUGAACAUAUAUAACUGGAACCUUUUAAUAAAUUCCCAUCUCCCUAGCAAGCAGUCAAAUUUUAUGAUGGUAAAACGGGUGCUAAAAAGCAAAAUGAAUGAAGCAACUCGACAAAACCAAUGCUUACGCAUAACCUCAUCAAUCCAUCAUUGUGGUUUCAGACAACAUAAAUAAACUAACAAAGCAAAGAACCAUUAAACUGAAAUAUGUAAAAAAAUAAAUAAAAUGAAAACAGCUUGGACUAUAAAAAUCUUCGUUACCUGUCAAAACAGCCACUCCCUUGUUUGAUGCCCUAGCACCUUGAAACGCACCCAAUUUCACACUAGCCCCAUCACUUUCAUCUGCAUAUACUAGAACAUUCAACAACAAAAUCUAGAAGCCUAACAAGAAGCACAAAAAAGAACUAAACUUUAAUUAAAAAAAAAUAUAAAGAAAAGCUGGCUAGAUGAUUAUUCAGGACAAGACAACAAGCUUAACAUGUGACUGACAACAAGCAAUGGCAUUAAUGUUCACAUUUUUCACACACUUUAUUACUUAACAUAACCUCUCUAAUCCACCACUAUCAAUGAAGACAACAUAAAUAAAUGACAAAACAAAAACCUUUAAAGAAGACUAACUAGAACAAAAAAAAACUUACUUACGACUCACCCUUUAGAACUGUGACUCCCUUGUUUGAUGAUUUAACCCCUUGAAACCCACCCAAUUUCACACUAUGGCCAUCACCUCCAUCUGCAUAGAUCAGCAACAAAACCCAAAGGACAAAGAACAUUACAAGUAACUCACAUUGUACUUAGCAUACACACAAUAAUGCAAUCAAACUCACAUUGUUAAAAUGAAAAUAGCAACAAAACUACAACCUCGGAAAUUUCCAUUUUGAGUUGCACAGAGUGGAAAUAAACUUACAGAGCAUAAACCUUUAAAACGACAAAAAAAGAAGAAGAACUUGAGCCACAAACAUUUGACUUACCCUUUAAAACAGUCACUCCCUUGUUUGAUGCUUUAACACCUUGGAAUGCACCCAAUUUCGCAGAAUCCUCAUCACCUCCAACUGCAUACACAAGCAACAUUCAUCCAUUAAGCAGACAAAAAACCCAACAAAAUCCAUAAAGCAAACAACAAACACACAAAAAAUAACCAACCUUCGACAUUGUUCAAAGACAUAACCCCACGAAACCCACCCUCUUGAUGAUCGUCAACUGAGUCUCUAACCUUCCUCUUACAAUGCCUUAAGGGCAUGAAAACAGACCCAACAGAAGAAUCCACAUCACCAUCAAGACCACUAGUAUCGGUCAAAUCCUCUAAACUAGAAAGAGAAAAAACAGAACCUCUAGUGCCACAUACUUCACAGCUACUGUUCUUAUACGGGUUCAAGAAAGUGCAAGCCUUGCAAGACCAUUUUGGGGUUUCUUGAUUUGAAGAAGAGGAAGGUAGUGGAGGGGGUGAAGGAGGUGAGAGACAGAUUUGGCAAGUGGGUUUUGGUGAUGGAGAGUUAAUGAAAGUACACUUCUUGCAAGACCAAGACAUGAGGUUUGAGAGAUGAACAGAAAGAUUGCAGCUUUUACUAGGUUUAGAAAGGGGAGAGAUGAUGACGAUGGGCACGAAGGUUAUUUUUUGCAACAAAGAUUGCAUUUUUAUAAGUUCGGAAAGUUCAAACUAAUUUGAAACAUUAAAGUCCAGCUUUGGAGACAAAGUGCUUCAAGUAUGGCCCACUGAAGAAUCAAACGUGUAGGUGCUUAAAUGGGACCUAUGGUCAGCGGAAGGAAUUUGAGGGGCCCCAUAAUGGCCAAUUAUUUUAAAAGAAUGUUUUUUUUUUUUCAGUUUAAAGCUGCAUAUUUUAAAAUUGCGUUUAAUUUGAAAAAAAAAUUAAAAUUAAAAAAUAUCUUAAUAUAUUUUUAAAUAAAAUAUAUUUUUAAAAAAUAUCUUCCAUCAUACUAGGGGUGAGCAAAAAAACCGAAUAACCGAUUAAACCGACAAAACCGAAUAAAAAACAACCAAAAAAACCGAACCGAAAAAAAAAACCGAAUUAACCGAUUGAAAAAUCACAAAAAAAAUUCGGUUCGGUUCGGUUUCGGUUUUCAAAGUCUGAAACCGAUUGAACCGAACCGAACCGAACCGGUUCAACCCAGCCACCAUUAAAAAAAAAAAGGUAUAAAUAACAUGUUUUUUUCGUAACCCUAAACCUAAAGUAACAUUCUGAAGACAGCCGCCCCCUCCCUUUAGUUUGCUCUCUGCGUCUCCCACUCUCUCCUCCCUCAUUUUUCUUUGUACUCCACAAUCCAUAUCCCACAAUUUUUAAGAAUCGUUAAGCUCCUGCUUCUCCAUGCUUAUCUGUCCUCCUAUUAGCUGUCCUCAUAUCAAAGGCACACCUUUCUUCACUUGGUUUUAAUUUUUUUUAGUUCAGCCACGCCUCUCUUACCUUUUCUUUUGCUUUUAACUUUGUAAUUGCUAUAUAAUUUUUUAUACCCAUGUAACCGAAGAAGAUUGUUAUGUCAAACCAGUGAAAAGUUUUUCUGUGAUUUUCUUGAUGUUGGUCUCAUGAGAACAACAACUGGAUAUCGGGUUCGGUUAUUUAUUGAAGAAACCGAGUAUAAAAACACCACACACUCGAUAGAUGGUGUAGAUCUAUAUAAAAAUUUGUAAUUAGUUUCUGAUUGUUUUGGUUUUACAUUUGAAUAAUACAUAUCUUUUGAUCUUAAUUUUUUUUUUCAGUGAAAUAACUUCUUUUCUUUCCUUUCCUUAUGUUUUGUGUAUUUUUUGUGCAAAGAUUAAUUUUUGAGCAAGGAUCUAGCAAAAAGAAAACUGGGGUUGGAUUUCUGGAUAUUCCUUACCGGUUUAGCUUGUUGAGAAAGCCAAGAUUUCUCUCAUAAGCACAAAGCUAUGAAAAUAGAAAUAAGACGAACCGGUUUAAACGGUUUGGAAGGAAAAAAAACCGAACCGGACCGAACAUGGUCGGUUUGAACCGGUUUUCGGUUCGGUUCGGUUCCAAAACUUGAAAAAAAAUAAUUUCAAUUUGGUUAUUUAUUUUGGCCCAAAACCGGACCGAACCGGAAAUGAUAUCUUCCAUCAUACACUCUUAAUCCAAAACAAAGAAAUUUCAAGAUUGUUUUUAAAUUAAAGAAUUUAAUUUUUUUUUUAAAAAGACAAAAACAAAGAAAUUUCAAGAUUGUUUUUUUAAUAAAUUUAAAGAAAAUAAUUUUAAAAAAAUCAAAUUAAAUUUUGAUUAGCUUAACUCUAUGCUAAAUUUAAUUUAAAACUUGAAACUUCUUAUUUAAUUUUGAGUGGAUAAAUUAUUAUUAUUAUCACAGUAAAAUCAAAUUUAAUAAUUAAUAAUUUGUUUUUUUAUUUGUUGGUUUUACAAUAAGGGUAUCUUAGGUUAACUUUGUAACUUGGACACAAAGUUCACCAUUAAAGUUCAUUCGAAACCAAUUUUAUAUCUCACAAUCUUAGCUUGAAGUUUGAAUGAUUAAGAAAGAAGCUCACCUUAAUCACAGGUCAAACCUUAGUUUAGACUGUUUGUCAUGAUCAUUACGAGAAGAUUAGCCUAAAAAACUAGUGAAUAAAAAAGAUAAAAAAAAUAAAAAGAAGAACCUGGGUCUUAAAGACUAGCCUUUUCACAAACUUCAUCAUUCCUUCUGGCUUGUUUAGAGGAAGGAAAAAUCUUGAAGAUACUCCCAUUAUCUUGCUCAUAAUCAUGGCCCCGAAAAAUCCUUCUCUCUAGGCCUCCAUGUUUGUUGCGGUAUGCUCUUGCUUACAAGAAAGUAUAUAGUGCUAACCUACUUUUUUGAACACUUUUGAUUCCACAGAAGAGCCCACAAAAAAAUUGUCAUCACUCCUUUCACAGAGAAGACCCUACCAAGAACAUCUCUCAAGUGAGAAUUUGCUUGUACAAUGAAGAAUUUGUGGACUAAAAACAGCCUAGCACAGCAAUAGCCAAUCAUCAUGAAGGAAUUAAACACUAUUACAUUACAAAAAAAAUUGUUUUAUUUUACGCCUCAAGACAUCAUAAAGGGAAUGUAUAACAAAAUAGAGAAGAUUACAGUCAAGAGAGUUUGUAAUGCCUUGUCUACUGCACUCAUUCUACUGCUUUUGAAGCUGAUUAAUCUUGAACCACCCGCUGCGUUACUUGGAUUGGUUGUGUUCACCACCGUCCUCGCCUUAUUCGUUAUUUUUUUGCUGCAUCCGAAGUUGGAAAAUUGGUGAGAAAUUGUUGCAAGGUGUUUUAAUGAUUUUGCUUUUUGCACUUUCCAAAGAAAUUGUUCUCUUUGACUACCAGGAAAGGGAAUGCAAAGAAGCAGAAAAGGAACCAAAGUGUGAUGUCCUUUCGAAUAAAUUAGGCCACCAAGUAGAAAAAAAGGGUUUCUUACCUUCCAGGAAAUAUACAGCUCCCAUGACCUGCCAACAAGGAAAAAAGAUGUUAGGUUUGAGAAACAUAACAGGUGAAAAAACAUCACAAACAGGACUCAUUUUCCUCAAGGUAACAGUCAUUCGGUAGAUAAAGAGCAAUGAUGGAGUUUCUUGCAAGAAUGUAUAAAAGAAAGAGGAUGAAUGGCCUUGAACUGUUGUUACUGUCCUGUCCUGACUCUAUGGGGCUCUCUUGGCAUAUAGCGUCCAAGUUGAAAUCAUAAUUUCCUAGGUUGGCUGUUUCAGCACAAAAUGUUAUUCCAUGCCCUUUCCACAAUCCAAUCACUCAAGAAACCAUGUGACUCUGUCAGGUAGGAAUCACACAAAAUGUACCCUUGAAGUCACCUCAAUAGUAUCCCCCGAGGAUUAUGAUGGGAUGGUGCCACCAUUCACUUUCCUUUAGUGGUGUGGCAUAAGGCAAUUAGCACCUUUUUAACUUUUAAUCCUAAAUACUUGAGCUUAAGGUAUCUGUUUAACCACUCAAGAGCCUUAAUGCACUUUUAGUAGAUGCACAGCAUACUAUUUGGUUGUCUAAGCAGUAACCACACAUUCAAUUUUGCAAACAGACAACAGUUAAAUAACGAUCUAUUGAGGACGAAAUUUGAAGAUCAGAUCCUAAACUUUGUUAAAGUUCAAUGAAAUAUGAAAGAACUGUGUUUAUUCAAGGCAUUAAGAGUGAAAAAUGCUUACUUGGAUCGGUAGUAGUGGUCAUGGCAAUGCCCUUGAAAUCACAGGACCCGGAAGCCCUUCCUUCCUUCUGGUAAUAGCUAUCAAAUGCAUAAGAGGCAUGGUUCUUAACAUUGUUAGGCUGAUAACAAUUCUCCCCUGGCUGAAUCUCGCUACAAUUAGCCCUUCCUGGUCCACAUACCCAAUCCAAUGCUGCUUGCAAUGUCUUUGAAUCAACACCAUCCAUAACAAUACAAUAUGUUUGGUUGGUUGUAUCAUUAGCCAAGAAAGUCCCACUUCCAGAUACAUGAAGCAAAUAAACCGGUGUCGAAUUCGCAUAAAACAAUCCCCAAUUUGCUUCUGAUACUGGUGGUGACCUCAAGUCUUCAUUGAACAACUCGUAUAAAUACACACUAGAAGUGAUUUCUGGGUGCAAAGGAGUCCCGCUACGAUCAAGAACAUGCUUAAUCAAAUUAGAAUUAUAAGUAUCUGCAUUGUCAAUUGUAGCAUAAGGUUCUUUUGAAUCACCCUUUGAAGGCCAACCACUCUCGGUAACAAGAACCACAACAUCAGUAAAAUUCAUAUUCUUCAUCGAAAAAUAAGCAGCAUCAACCAUAGCAUCAAGAACAUUAGUGUAAUGCAACAAAGUAUUAGGAUCAACCAUUUCCUUGGAUGGUGUCAAGGGCUUGAACAAAGAAUUAUCAAGAGGCACCACUCCUUUAUUUUGCAUAAACACAUAGUAAGGAUAAAAAUUCAUCAUCAAAGGUGACCCAGUUCUUGAUAAAAAAUGAAGCAACGGUUGAAUAACCGAGAUCCAACUCUGAUUAAAAAAAGACUGAGAAGGUGGAAAUGAAUCAAGAAUUAUAGAAGCAGAGUGUGGAGUUGAAAUCUUUAUCUGAUUAUGCAAAUUUUCAGCCACCAAAGCACUAUAAAGAGACUCAAUAGCUGGCAUAAGCAAAGGAGCUGAAGAGGGUACUGUAGUUAAAACCUCAUCACCAACAGCAAUUGCAGUAAUUACAGUCUGUGGAUAAUAAGCAACAACAUUUUUACCAAUCCAAGAAGCUGCAGUUGUAUUGGAGGAUCCAAUAGCAAGAAGCUGAUUAUUUGGAACACUAAUAAUGACCCGGAUCUUGGUGUUAGCCAAGGCCUUGAGUAUGUCGGGGUCUACAUCAUAAAGCUUGAUAUGUGUAACCUUUUGAAAUUGUAGAAAUGAAACAAGUUCUGUAGCUGACAUAAGAUUGGACACAUCUUCUCCUAUGUUGAUUCCCACAAAUGGCUCAUUGUCUUGUUGGUCCUUGAUUUGUGCCACUGCUAUUUUUGAUGAUAAAGCUGCAAAUUUGCCAGAAAAACAUUAGAAACACAAAAGGGAUUCUUCCUAGUUUCUUGAAAUAGUGAAUAUACAAGUGGGGUUUUUCUCCAUUACCUUGUGAUGAUAUAAAAAGUGAAAUGUACAGGAAGAAGAAGACACUGCAGAGAGGAAGCUUAGACAGUGCCAUAACUGAAGAAGAAAUUGAGCUUCACAACGUCAUCUUCUGGUUCUGGUUCUGGUUCAGCUAAAGGUUCUUGCAUUUGUAGGCUUAAUUUUUUCGUUUUCUGAGUGUUGGUGGGUUUUGGUUUGGCUUUGGAGUUGGAGUUGGAGUUGGCUUGUUGACCUCAAGAAAUCUUCCAGUAUCUAACAAGAAUCAAGAAAGCAAUCCCAUGAACUUACUUGCUAACAAGAUGAAUUAAAUUGUUCGGAAAACUUCAAGAAUACCCCUAACUAGAUUACUAGUUUCAAUUUCGUCCCCAAACAAAAUUUUAUUCCUUCAGCUUCCGUCAUUUUCAGUUAAAUCUUUCCAUUCAUGUUUGAUCAUGACUUCCAUCCAAAUCAUAACUUUCUUUUACCUCUUUAUUUUAAUGUUUUUCAUCAAUGAUAACUCUUUUUUUUUUACCAUUGUUACUAUGUUUCUUCCUUGAGUUUAUAAGAUUUGUUUUAUACCUGAUUUUCUAAUAUUAUGGAACGUACGAGUAAGAUCAAGUUUUCUACGAUCUUGGAGAACAUUAUUGUCCCUAUUAGAAGAACUUCAUUGAAAAAUCCAAAUUAUUUGGGUGUAAAAUCAAUAGAAAAGGUUGUUUGGGGAGACAAUCGACACUACUCCAAUAAUUGGGGGGUAUAAUUGAAGUUUGCCCUAACUUGUUCGUUUAUCUAUGUGAAUUCCCUAAAGUGGCCUUGUGAACCGACAAGUACUUUAGUUUAUUUGCAACGUGCUCUUAAAGACAAAGGGUAAAGGUUUGAAACAAGAAGUGGAGCUUUAUGGUAACUUCAUCUAGAUUGACAUGGCUGGUUCUUGAAGUGAUGGAGUUGCAGAGGCUGUCAUUCCAGAGAGAGACGUUAGAAACCUCUGAUAUAUGUAGCCCCCCAGUACAGUGCACUCAGCUGCUUGCCAGAGUGUCCUUCUUUAGAGUUCGGACUUGUAAGGCCUCCACGCUCGACAACAUUUUAAUUGCAGUAUGGUUUAUUUUUGUUUAAUUAAACAUACCAUAUAUAUAUAUAUGCUCUAUUUGUAAUAUUAGAAGACAAUUGGACAUCUUUUGUUCAAUCUUUUCAUGUCAUAUCUUUUGUUCAAUCUUUUCAUGUCAUGUGGCUUUUAUUGGACGAUUUUGCUAGUAAUAAAAAGUUGGAUAAAGAAACCCAAAUCACUUUCGAUUGGAUAUAGCAGGGUAGUUUUGCCCAAAUUAUAGAUUACAAGAAAUUAAAAUAAACAAAAAAUACUAAAAGAGAUCAGAAAUCCUGCAGAUUAAGAGUGAUUUCACUGUGGAUUUAAAAAGUGUUUUGCGUUGAAAAUUUUGUUGAUCUCGAGAUAUGUCUGGUGUAAUUUCUUCUCAGGUUUUGUAUGUGCGGUUGAGUUAUUGGCAACGUGGCUUCUUUGUUAUCAUAAUAUAUACAUAUUUUUUGUGUUUUUGUCUCAAACUAUGGUGAGGGCCGGACACCAACAUACAGUUUUCCUCUCAUAUGGAUCUUCCCUUUCCACCAAAUAUCACCAAACCCUUCACUGGCCAUUGCUAUGCAUCACCAAACACAUUGCCUCUCUGUGUUAGAAAAAGGGUGGGGCUUAUUCAUUCGAAGAUCGCUUGUCAGCCAAGGAAGAAAGGUUUUUGAUCUCUUCUGUGCUUUGCUUUUAGUUUUUUUUAGUGUCCAUAGGCACAAAUAAGAUUUUUUAAACAGAAUUGUCUUCUACGGUGGUGUGUGCCGUUUCGCUUUCUGUUUUAAUAACCCAGAUUUUAAAUGAUGAAUUCUGAUGAAGGACCACAUGAUUGACAAGACAGCCAUGAGCAGUAGAUGAAGGCUACUUUUCAACUCGAAAGCCCUGGGGAAGUUUCUUGCAUUCUUGCUGAAAUAAUGGGAUAGGAUAUUAUUAUAACAGUGUGCUUGCAAAAGCUUGAAACUCAUCCCUUAAGAAGGAAAGAUUUAGACUAUACAUUUGAAGUUUAGUACCUAAUCCAACCAUUGUGCAGAAUAUUGUGUUUCAACGCCCUCAGUACUUCCAGCAACCUGCAAUGAUGCUUGAGUAAUUGCUAUCACAAUAACAUUUGUUCAUUUUCAUUCAUGUGCACCUUUAUACAUGAAUUUUCUAUAGUUUUUUCUUUCUUUUCUAAACAUCUAUGGUGCUCAAUUAUGGAGUAUUAAGCGAAAAUUGAAUUUUUCAGGGGCAAAAUUCUUAAAGCAUCAAAGGAUUGGGCAGAGAGAAAUAUCCAAGUCAUUGUUAUUACUGAUGGUGAGUGUAUCUUCGGGCUUGGGGGUCUUGGUUGCCAGGUAUUGAUGCUCAUAAAUUUAUUUACAAAUUGGAUGUGCAAACCACUUCUUAUCUCUUAAUGAUGCAAUCGUUUUACAUUCGUUAAGGAAUGGGGAUUCUGGUAGGAAAACUCUCUCCAUAGACAGCAUUAGGAGGAUUACUUGCCUUUGCAGUAAGGAUAAAUCUGCUAAAUUUACAACAAUUUCAUACUCAUUUUUCUUCUAUUAUUUAGACACACCUCAAUCACUGCUUUACUAGAGCUAUUAGUUGUCCCUUGCUAUUUAGUUACUAAAACCUUCCAACUGCAUUCAAUACAUACAGGGCACAAACAAUGAGAAGCUGUUGAAUGAUGAGUUCUAUAUUGGGCUUGGAGAGAGGAGGGUAACUAGACAGGUAGAGUAAUUUUACUUUCUUCCAUUUCCAAUCGACUGAUAUUUCUUCCUUUCUUUUCUAGAUUUUAAAUCAUUCCAAGUCUGAAGAUUUGUGUUUUGUUAUUUAUUGAUCUUUCUUUUGAAUAAUAUUGCUUUUGUAUUAAGUGAUGUGGACUGAAUUCUUUCUGGUCGAGCCAAUGGUUAAAGAAGUUGUGAUUGAUGUCGCUCUUUCGAUAUAUAAAUCGGUGCUUUUUUUAUUUAUUUUCCUGAAUCGGUGAGGUUGCUGCUUUGAAUAUUGUUGUCAUUUUUUCAUUGAUUUUUAUUGCUUUCUCAACAAUGUUUGUGUGUUGGUUGUUGUUAUGUGGGUUGUUUGUUCGCUUUGAGAGUUGCUACUCAGUGAGUUCGUAACCUUUUCCAUGACUGGAUUAUUGAAAUUGGUGCUUCGUUUUGGAUCCCGUAGUUGUCCUUUUCGUGAAUUCCUGGGUGUGCUGGCAUUUUACUGAGUUGAUAUACAAAAACACUUUAUCAAUAAUAGGCAACUACAGGGUGCCAAGCAAGCUAUUAAUGAAGGAAAAUUUGUAGUGCAUUGGCAGCAGCCUGCAGAACAUUGGCCAAAGAGAUCACUUAAUUGCGAUCUUCAACUCCUAGGAUCCUUGCAUUCAAAGUCUUCUUAAAAUCUUCUUUUUGUGGUCGAACUGAUUAACUUACUGGUUCUUGGCUAAAUGGGUUGUAGACCAGGUGCAUUAUUUUAAAACUUGAUUAGGAAUAAACUGAGAAAAAUGGUACGAGUACUAUUAUUCUUGAGUAGUUUUAUGGUGUUGCCAGUUGAACAUGUCAGCUAAUACAGAUGAGGGGCUCGAAGGACAACCACAUAAGUUGGCAGGGUGCUUUUUUUUUUUUUUUUUAACGUUGUUGUAUGGAUAAACUUGUUUGCAUCUUGAUUAAUCCCUUGGUUUUUAAAGCUAAUGACCAUGUAAGCCUCUAAUAGCCCUAAGAAGACUCAAACUCGUGAUUAUUGGAAAGUAAACCCAGGAUCUAAUCAGUUAAACUCCUCCUCGGGGUUAGGGAAGGUGCAUUUUAAUUAGUUAAAUUGUUUGUGUUGGUCUUUUAUUUUUUUUUCCUGUCAUUUCUUUCCACUAAUUCAAUGUGCAGUGCUGCUUGAAAUGUUUGGUUUGGUCGAUAUUGGUUAAAUGUGGUAGUAUUUAAUCAUCAAACUUGCUCUAUUAGUAUGGUGUGAGCAAUUACACGAUGCCUUUGAGUGAAUGAAAAAACAGAGGCAUUCAUGAAGUUUUUUUUUUAAAAAAAAAUCUUUGACUUUUAAAAAAAUCAUCGAACUUGUUCUAUUAGUAUUUAACCAACGAACUUGCUCUAUUAGUACAUUUGUUUCUUUUAAAAAAAAUCAUUGACUUUUUAGCGAGUAUUUUUUAUUAUUAUUAUAUUAUUAAAUAAAAUAUAAAAGAACAAAGUAAUUGAACAAGGCCAGGUUGAUGACCUGAGGCCUGUAUUUAACAGAUCUCAAUAUUUAAAAAACAAAAGCGAAUGCAUUUUGGAUUAAAAAAAAAAAUCUUAUUACUGCUUGAAAAAGCAUUAAUGCAUGCACGAAACUAUUUUUAUGCGUCGAAAGAUAAUCUGUGGUGGCGGGAAACCUAUCUAGUAAUUUUCUAUAAUAUUAAGGAAUUAGCCUUGCUGGAAGAAAAAAAAAAGGUAAUCUCUUCUUUGAUUUUCUAAGUUUGAUGUGAGCAUUUUAAAGCAAUUCAUUUCUUCUAAAUGUACCAUAAUUAUAUUUUCAUUAAAUCAUUAAAAAAUCCAAGAUACAUGGAAAUAAAGUUUUAUGAUGAUUUAAUAAUGUAUCAUUCUUCAUAAAUAAGAAAGAUAGUAGCUUGAUGUAGAAAGCCUAUUACUUGCAAAAUAAUUCUUAGUCAAGUCAAUAAAUAUGUAAAGAGAGUCAAAUAAAAGAUCACUAAAUCACAAUAACAAAGUAGUUUGUUUUUGUUUUAGUAUGUAAUUCAUGCUAAGAUAAAAUAAUAUUAUGUAUAGGGGCGGAGUCAAAAGAUAAAAUUAGGGGGGUAAGAUUUCAGUUAUAUUAUUAUUUUAGUUAAAAUCAUAUAAAUUAUCAAGGAAGGGCUGGAAAAACAAUUUUCUUGCAGGGGCCCCAGCCCCUGCUUGCCACCUCCUGUUUCCGCCUCUAAAUUUAUGUAUAUAUGUUAAUAUCAGAAAAAUUAUGAAUUCUUUACCUAUAUAGCUUAUAUGUCAUUUUACUUAAAUAACAGGGCUGAAAAACUAUAUCACCCUCAUAACAAUAAUGAAAGAAUGUUUGUUUUUGCAUGUUUAUAAAUUUUAAAUUAUAUGUUUGUUUAAUGAAAAAAAAACAACGGAUGGUCAGUGUUGUUUUAAUGAUAGUUAUAUUAAUACAAUAGUUAGAUAGGUGUUACCAUGAUUGCGAGACAAUAAUACUUGCAUUGAUUGCCAGUGUCAAUGGUUACUGUAGUGAUAAUAAUAAGAUAAUAAUAACUAUUUGGUUCUUUAAUUGAAAUUCUCGGUUUGAAAUUUCAGUAACACAGGCUUUUGAUCUUUUUAGAAAUCUUAAAUGUAUCAUUAACUGGAUUAAAUAGUUUUGUCUUUGUUUCCCUUUUCAUGGUGCCUUUUUGUAAUUUCUUUUCUCUCUCAGUCUUCAUGAUCUACAGUGCUAUUUUAUAUAUAAUUCUCUCUAUUACUAUUAAAAAAAUAAUGAUAACUAUUUAAAUAUAUAAUAAGAGAUGCCAAGUGUUUUUAUACAAAGACAGUGGCAUUCAAUUUUCUGAAGAAAGAGGGGAAAAAACAUCACAAGCAGAGAGCACUGCUUGCUUCGGGGUACCCCAUGCUCAACGCUGUUUGCUUCAGUUUAACAAGAUUUUUAUGCCUUAGACCGAGUCAUCGGCUAAACCAGGUUUUAGGAGGAGGAGGUUUUAACCACAGAGAGAAAGAAAAAGGAUGUACUAUGCAAUAUCUAACAACCAAAAAAAAAAGAGAGUAAAAUCAUGAAUCUGCAAUCAGAAGACAAGCAAUUAAAGCUUACGCAUCAAUGAAAUAAACAAAAAAACAUUAAGAUACAACAAAAUCCAGUAUAGAUAGCAGAAUCGGACUAAAAAAUGUUUGCAGGAAAUUGAAGUACACAUCAGAAGGAACUAAAUACCCCUAUUGAACUGCUAGAACUCAGUUACAAAUAUACCACUGAUCUAUAACACGACUGCAGAAAAAGAAAUGUAGGAGCACAAGUUAUUUUAAUUGUUCAACACACGGAAUUUUGUGUCAAAACUCAAAACAAUAUGUGCAUGGUUCACAUGUAAAUGCUUUCGAAUUUUGGUUCUCUAGCGAGCAUGGAUGUCUUAUUCUGGUUCAACCUGCCACCUGAAAUGUACACCUUUUCCGAAACUGUUGAGACUCUGAAUAAAAUCCUGACAGCAUGCGCGCAAUUCCUCCUCACUUGCAUCAAAUGUGUGGAUCUUGACGAUCUUGAGUUGUGUCAAGAAACAAGGAGGCACUGGAUCCAAUGCGAAGUUUUUAAGUUUCGACAAGAAGAUACCCUGCAAAUCAACCAUACAUAAUUAACAGAGAGGGAGAGGGAGAGAGAGCUGCUCAAUCAAAGGCUACAAUGUUUAUUUCAUUUAUACAAGUUUUCUGUACAUUCAUUCAUUUACAUGCUGAGUCCAGCUUUCAAAACUCACUGAAUAAGAUGAUUCUGGGCAAUCCGUAAAUUGAUACUAGGUAUGACAAUGUAUAACAUUAAUAGCCUUGUUUGUUUGGUAGAAAAUUAUUUUUUAAACUUUUCUGUAUUUGUUUGUCAUUAAAAAAAUUGGUCAACGAAAAACACUUUCCGGUUAAAGAAAAAUAUGAUUUAAUUUCUAGAAAAGUGUUUUCCUUUUAUUUUGAGUAGAAAACACUUUCUAGAAAUUGUAAAAAAUUAAAAUAUAUCAUAUUAUUUACUGAUUAUAAUAAAUUUGAUCUUCAAACUUUUGAUUGCUAUAUAUUUUAUUUUGAAUUUUUUUUUUUAAUUUCACCCUUAGAAUUUGAUUUAAUUUAAUUUUUAUAUUAACUUUGGUCCCUAUUUUUAUGAUUGUUAUUUGUUUUUCUCUUAUUAUUUUUUUAAUUGAAAUUUUUUAUCUAUCAAAUUUGGUCCUUAUUCUUUUGAUUGUUACUUAUUUUAUGUGAAAUAAUUUAUGAAAUUGUAAUUAUUAUUAUUUUAAUUUCAUCAUCUUUCAAUUUUUUUAUCUGUUAGAUUUGAUCUCCAUUAUUUUAAUUGUUAUUUAUUUUAUUUGAGAUAAUUUAUAAAAUUAGAUUUUUUUUUAAUUUCAUUCUCAUUCAACUUUUUAAUUUAUAAUAUUUGUUUCUUAUUAUUUUAAUAAACUUGAAAAAAAAUAUUAAUAAGUUAUUUUUCAGCUCAUUUUCCAUAACAUAACUAAACACUAGAAAGUGUUUUCCAACUUAUUUUCUAUGAUACUAUCAAACAUCGAAAAAUAAAUUCACUUUCUAAAAAUUUACUUUCUAAUAAAAUUAUUUUCUUAAAAAAAAUAGUUUCCAACAAACAAACAGGUCUUAGUUAACCUUGCAGUAACAAUAAACAGUUCAUAUCACUUCGAUCCAAAAAGUUCUAUACAAAAUCUGUAACAUCAUGCUCUGCAAGCUGUUCCAAGCCUUAUCGUCCAGCUAAAAUCGUCACUUGACUUUACAGACCUGAUAUUGUUAAAAGCACACCAUAAUGAUCGCUAGGCAAGACAGGAAGCUCCAACAUCUUUACCUCUCUUCUCACUUUCUUCUCCUUGAUAUAUGAUAACCCAGGUAUUGCCUCCUUACCAAUUAUGUCAAUUUUACUGAUCUUGAGAAGGGCAAGUAAGCAAGGUAACAAUGUAGAUUAAUUAUUUUUAUCUGCUUAACGUUGAAGCUUCUAUUUUUCCUCUGUUGCUUGCUCUAACGAUUGAUGGUUUGCUUAAUAUCUUGAUUAUCAACAAGAAUUAAUCAGCUCUAAUAUCAACAAGAAUCAGCUCUUUGCUAGAAUUCCUGGUAUGUAUUGUGUAUUAUCUUGAUGGGUGAUGGCUUUAAACUACAUAUAGAUUUUUAGGGUGAGAGGAAGCAGGAUUAGGUAUAUGGUUGAAUAAAUUUUGAAAACAUUUUUUUUUCCUGUUUUGUAUAUCUAUUUUUGGGUUCUAUUGGUGGUUUGGUUUUUCUGGACAAGUGUUGGUCUCUUGAUUCUCUUGCUUCGAUUUUUUUUUUUUUUUCUCUUGCUCGCGAAAAGGACACGAUCUAUUUUUUUUUUCUCUUGCUCGCGAAAAGGACACGAUCUGAAAAGGACACGAUCUAUUUUUUUUUUCUCUUGCUCGCGAAAAGGACACGAUCUGAAUGUUUAUGCUUCCACAUGUCGUCGCUGGCCUGGGCCAUAGUAGCCUCUUUAACUACUUUCGUUGAAUGAUAAAUACUUUCGUUGUCCUCUUCCAAUUUGCUCCAUAUUCAGUGUUUUUCGUUCUUUUAUUGGUUAUUUAGAUCGUGUCCUUUUCCGGACCAGUUAAAUCUUCCACUUUUUUCUGACUCGACAUGAUUUUCUCAUAUUUAUCAGCUAAUCUAAUAGUGCCUCUAUUUCUUUACGGGACACAUAGAUAAUGAUAAAUACUUUAUGUGCGUGUUUUUCGUUUUUCAUUAAGCAAGGAUUCUUCUCACCUGUGUUCAACUCUCCAAUUUGCACAAGGUUUAGCUACUUUUUGUCAGAAACAGAUACUCUCGAUUCUUGUCAAUACCACCUAGUUUUAGCCAUCAACCAUUCUUCGAAAGCGGUGGAAAAACAUUCCACACAUAAAUAUAGGAUCCUAGAUUUCAUUGAAAGCACAGACACAUCUAAACCCUCAAUCCACUAAACCCAUGUAAAAAUUCAACAUACAAGUACACUGUCAAUCUAAGAAGAUCCUUUUCUUUUCCCUGAACUAAAUAUUGAUAAUAAAUCUAAUUCAAACUCGAUUAUAUUAGUAUUAAAAAAGAUUUAUAAGAAAAGCGAAUUAAAAAAAAAGUUGCAUAUUUUACAUAUUAUUUUUUAUAUAUUUUUUAGCAUAUUUUAUCAAGCAUGUCUAUUUAACUUUGGCUUUAUAAUGCAACUUCUGCCGAGUUUUGUAUUUAGAUUUUUUUUCUUUUCAUUUUCUCUCUUAAAAUUUUAUUUAAUUUUCUUUUGUAUCAACUGAUUUAAACACUACUUGGAUUAGUCAGUUCAUACUCAAUUAGUCGUCAAUGAUGCAAUGAAAAAAGAAAAAGUGGACAGAUCGACUAACGUUUUUGCUUCAAGACAGCGGUUAUAUAUUUCAAAGCUAAUAAAAAAACUAACAUUGUGCAGCGAUUCAAAGACAAAUAAUCCUCACAUAAAGUAGAUGCUAUAUAUACAUAUAAAGAAGAAGAAAAAGUAACCACCCCAUUGUUGGAAUAUUAAAGAUCAUGAUUAGUGUUAAUUCCUCAGUUUUGAUACCAAAAAUGCAAAAGCUUUCCCCCUAAGUUGUCUCAACUGCAUGCUACGCCUUCUUGUAUUCUGCAUCUUUAACCCUCCAGGUAUCUUGAGCCAUCAUCAAUUGUUUUCUCCAGCGUCUGAAUAAGAGCAGAAAAGAAUCAAUUAGUCAAAACUUUUAUCUUUGUCAAAUUCAUGAAAUUUAUGCAUGUGAUAAUUCAAAGGCUCAAUAUCAACAGAGAGAUUGGAGAUCACAAUCCGCAAUUCUAUCAACUUAUCUGAAUAUGCACCCAAAUGGCUGAAUUGAUUUUUUCUUGCGACAAAAUCUUUCAGUCAAUUGUUUUACUUUUACACCAUUUCGUAUCCAAAAAAAAGGGUCUGGUCAGAGUCUGUGUUAGUUGUUGUAGGAAUGACAUGCAUAGCUAUGUAGGAAUCAAGAGGUAUAUUUUUUUUUAGCACAAACAAGAACUCAAGAAAAUGCACUCAAAAAUCAAAUCAUUAAGAGACUCAAUUACUAUAGCACAGAGUUUCCACCCUCAUGGUAUCUUUAGCCAUCAUCAAUUGUCUUCUCCAGCAUCCCAAUAAACUCAAGAGAACAAAAGAGACUCCAUUAGUCGAAGCUUUUAUCUUGGUCAAAUCCACGAAAUUUAUGCUAAUUCUAAAGCUGAACAAAGAGAUUGGAGAUCAGAAUCCACAAAUCUAACAACUUAUCUGACUUGACAUCCAAAAGGCUGUAUCUUUUUUAUUUCUUUUAGCACAAACCAAAAAAACUCAGGACGAACUUCAGGAAAAACGUUGCCAUAGGGGGGAGAGAUAGAGAGAGAGAGGGGGAGAGAGAGAGAGAUUCAAUGGCUUGCUUAGCAGAUACUGAAGAAACACAAUCAUCAAAUGUGAGAGAACUUGCUAGAGACCAAGAAAGGCUAGAAGUAGAGUAUACUCGAACACUGAGUAGACUCAACUUAUGUGAGUGUAUAACUAUAUUGAUUGAUAGUAUCAUACCAUCAAAGAUUAUAUUAAAAUAAACCCAAGACUAAACCAAACCCUAGAGGUUGAAGACUCUCUAGGGGAUCUGAAACCAGACCGAAAGAAGCAAAGCAUAAAUGACACAGCAAGAGUAAGGUGAUCACCUCAUAAGCCGAAGAAAAUGUCUUCAAGGUGAGUCUCAAAUCUGGUUCAACUUUGAUGUGGUAGGUUACUUCAUCCUGAAUAUCUUGUUCCCUUGUUAGGACGAUAACAUCUCUAACUGUAAGGCUCUUCUCACGGACGUAGUUCAACCAGUCACCUCUCAUGACGGGUUUUAGAUAGCCACGAGGCCGUUUAGAGAGCUCAAAGUUCCAAACUUUCCCGGUGGGAUCUCUUGCUUGAAACCAAAUAGCCGUUUGACCCUCGACCAUCGGAAAAGGCCCGAGUGCAUCAGUGGGAUAAGACAGACAAGAUUUGAUGUCUGUGCGAGCGAGUCGUUUACGUAUAAUCACGGUGGCCAUGAUAGAGCUAAAUGGGUAGGGGAGAGUUAAGGAUGAUAUGAGAGAGUUUGCUUUCGGUGAAUUGUGAGUGAAGAGUGGAGACUGGAGAGUGCGAGCUGGCUGAUCGCAGAGUAACGGAGCAAGAGGGGGUAUUUAUUCGUUAAAGAGAUGGGUUUAGAUGUGAGGGGGAUCAGAUUUGUCAUCCGCUAUUAGAUUCGGUGUAUCAUGAUGGCACAAGUAUCAUUUUCAAUUUUUUCUUACACGGGGAAAAAAUGGUCUAGAGAAUAGAAGAUAUUUGUCACAUGCUGAAAUGAAAAUUACACAUAAUUAUAUUUGUUUUAACUGUGAAGAAUUGAAGUACUAUUUAGAGUAAGUAUGAAAUAUUUUUUUAAUACUUUAGCAUGGUGAUAUAUUUUUAAUUGUAUUUAUUUUUAAUUUUCUUAAAUUUAAAUAGCAGCUUCCAUCAUCAGGUAAAGUUCUAGGAAGCUACGUCGCAAGAAAGCCAAGAAAUUGGCCAAGUGGCUGUUUGACCAUACAAGUGCUUUGAUGGGGUCCACACGGUACUCAACCAUUUAUAUAUCUUAUCUCACACUGCAUGCAUUUUCAAAGAUCUCGUAUCUAUAUAGAUAUUAAAUUUCAUAUGUGUUUGAAACUGUAGUAAAUUUUGUUUUUAAAAAUAUUUUUUAUUUAGAAAUAUAUUAAAAUAAUAUUUUUUUUAUUUUUUAAAAUUUAUUUUUCACAUCAAUAUUUUAAAAUGAUUCAAAAAUAAAUAAAUAAAAUUAAUUUAAAACUAAAAAAAUUAAUUAUUUUUAAAAGCACGAUACUAUUACAAUCUCAAACACUCUUUUCAAAAUACUUCAUCAUAUAAUCAAUGAGACUUCUUCAAGAUAUUUCAUCAUAAUUAAUGAGAUUUAUUCGGAGUAAAUUAAAAUAGAGAUUACAAGUAUUUUUAAUUUAAAAAUAUAAUAAUAUUAAUUUUAAAAAAAAAAACCUUUAGGUAAACUCCGUUUAAACAGCAAUUCCGACAGGCCAAAAUCUCUCACCAACUUCGAUGAGGUUUAGAUGUUUUUUUAUUAUUAUUAUUAAAAAAACGGUGCUUUCUAUACUCGCCAGUGAUAUCUAGUUUUAGCAUACUGUCAUUAUUUGAAAAACAUUCCACAUGCACAGAAUCCCGGACGUCAAUGAUGCCCUUCCACGUAAGUCUUUGUUGUUCUUCAAACUGUUCAGUCAGAACCUCUUUAUGACCGCAAAAAACUAGGUUCUCUCAGCAGCUUCAUUUUGAUUUUUUACUACUUUUCAAUCAACUUUUUUCAUAUUUUUUACAAUUUUUAUUCCAAGACGCAGAAUGUGAUUGGAAGGGGUAUUGCAUAAAAAAUCCAAAAAUGAAAACAAAAUUCCAAAUCAUGCAACACAGGAUAGUCCAAUAACAAACAAAUAUAGAGCCAGGCCUUGCGAACGAAUGAAUAAGAAAUUCCGGCAGAUUUUUUGUUUCAAAACUGAGGAAUUAAAAUCUUAUGAUUUUGAAAUUGGAAACACUUACUAUCUUUAUUUUUUUUUAUGAAAUAAAUAUUUACUAUCUUUGACCGUGUCUAAAUAUUCCCAUCCAUCGUCCCCUGGCUUCAACUCUACCCAGGCAUCAACCCAUCCAUCAGGGAAAGGAAACUGACCAUCCAACUUAUCGUCCCAGUUCAUGUCACCACAAAAAAUCACAUUUGAGUUCUUCUUGAGAAGGUUGAUGGCCUCCUUUGCCUGAUCCACACGUUCCUUGCUGAACAUCUGAUCCCAUUUUGGAGGUGCUGGACAAGGACUCUCUAGAUGGCUAGUGGCAACA